RNAcentral lists this non-coding RNA (21 nucleotides) under Caenorhabditis elegans. Lineage: Eukaryota; Metazoa; Nematoda; Chromadorea; Rhabditida; Rhabditidae. The record is from RNAcentral.
UGAAAUCUUGAUCGCAUGUUU